UCACCGUCUCGGUCUCGUCCUCCAAUGGUAGGUCUGCCUUUACCUGUCCCCCUUCUUGUAUUUUCCUGUGGAGUUGUUUGAGAUCUUGGAGUUCAGUUCAACAAUAGUAAGAUGAGGUUCGAACCUGCUAGGAGCCGAAUCUUAGUAUUACCGCUCAUACCGAUUUCAUGGUCCAUUCUGAAGCCAUAGCGUAUCGGUUGAAUCCGAUAAGAUUUAAUUCCAACUUCUUAGCUAAUUAUCCUUAGCUGGCAAAAUUAGAGAUCCAAUUGGGCGUUGUUGAGAUCAAUCAGGUGUUGAAUAUACAUGGCAGGAUAGUUUCCUUAUGCAAUAUUCAGUUACAAACUUGUGAUUUCAGAAGUCUAUUUCUGAUGUUUAAGUUCAGACUGCGCGCUUGCACAUACACUGAAGUAACAAUGGUUCAUAUUUAACGGUGUAGGUGCAGCUGGGCUCUCCCCAUUGAGUGACUCGGAGAAGAAAUGCAGGAGCUCAUGGACAGCAUCCGUGUCAUCAGCCUCAAAGUACCCGUGGGCUUUCCUUUCCUUUAACAUUAAUUUUUCCAAAUUUAUUUUCUUUUAGCUCAUAAGAUAAAUUAUGUCAGAACUAGAAUUUUCUUAUUUGGAAUUGAGUACAUACAAAUAAAGUUAUAUAGAGUAGCUAAUACAUGGCCGACCACUGCUACUGAAUUCAGUGAUCUCCACACAGUUGUCUGAGGACGUUUGUGCUAUGGUUGAUUGAGAUUCACUUGAUUGAGUAUGCACGUCAAUAUUCAAGUUGGG
This 776-nucleotide long non-coding RNA is filed under the name Triticum aestivum (bread wheat). RNAcentral's name for it is "long non-coding RNA (TAES_LNC014229)". Lineage: Eukaryota; Viridiplantae; Streptophyta; Magnoliopsida; Poales; Poaceae. The record is from RNAcentral.